Molecule: ribosomal RNA, 158 nt
Filed under: Globodera rostochiensis
Lineage: Eukaryota; Metazoa; Nematoda; Chromadorea; Rhabditida; Heteroderidae
Also listed under: 7 other names
Description: 5.8S ribosomal RNA
Rfam family: 5.8S ribosomal RNA
About the family: 5.8S ribosomal RNA (5.8S rRNA) is a component of the large subunit of the eukaryotic ribosome. It is transcribed by RNA polymerase I as part of the 45S precursor that also contains 18S and 28S rRNA.
Source: RNAcentral
CUAGUCUUAUCGGUGGAUCACUCGGCUCGUGGAUCGAUGAAGAACGCAGCCAACUGCGAUAAUUAGUGUGAACUGCAGAAACCUUGAACACAGAACUUUCGAAUGCACAUUGCGCCAUUGGAGUGACAUCCAUUGGCACGCCUGGUUCAGGGUCGUAA